This 492-nucleotide ribosomal RNA is filed under the name uncultured bacterium. RNAcentral's name for it is "partial 16S ribosomal RNA". It matches the Rfam family "Bacterial small subunit ribosomal RNA", at positions 36 to 507 of the family's 1533-position model. The record is from RNAcentral.
CUUUCCCUCUGGCGGUAGGCCUAACACAUGCAAGUCGAACGGCAGCACAGUAAGAGCUUGCUCUUACGGGUGGCGAGUGGCGGACGGGUGAGGAAUACAUCGGCAUCUACUUUUUCGUGGGGGAUAACGUAGGGAAACUUACGCUAAUACCGCAUACGACCUACGGGUGAAAGCAGUGGAUCUUCGGACCUUUCGCGAUUGAAUGAGCCGAUGUCGGAUUAGCUAGUUGGCAGGGUAAAGGCCCACCAAGGCGACGAUACGUAGCUGGUCUGAGAGGAUGAUCAGCCACACUGGAACUGAGACACGGUCCAGACUCCUACGGGAGGCAGCAGUGGGGAAUAUUGGACAAUGGGCGCAAGCCUGAUCCAGCCAUACCGCGUGGGUGAAGAAGGCCUUCGGGUUGUAAAGCCCUUUUGUUGGGAAAGAAAAGCAGCAGAUUAAUACCCCGCUGUUCUGACGGUACCCAAAGAAUAAGCACCGGCUAACUUCGUG